This 160-nucleotide small RNA is filed under the name anaerobic digester metagenome. RNAcentral describes it as "ydaO-yuaA". It matches the Rfam family "c-di-AMP riboswitch aptamer (ydaO/yuaA leader)". Rfam says of the family: This family represents a conserved RNA structure found upstream of the ydaO and yuaA genes in Bacillus subtilis and related genes in other bacteria. The record is from RNAcentral.
GGGACAAGCCGGCCGUGUUCCAGGUGUCAACCUGGGUACGGAAGAACCAUUUUUUUAAGGGGUGAAUCCAGUUUUGGCUGUUCCAGAGCCAAAAAAACGGGUAGGGUCUUCUUUUGCAGAACCCGCCAGCCAACUCCAGGAGGCAUAAAAGAAAGGGGAA